AUUUAGUUAUAUGACUGACGGAAUUUAUGUGGAAGAACCACGUGGAGUAUAACAUCAGGCAGUUUUUAACUGCUGGGAAAGGCAAUGUCUCUUCGGGACAUCGCGGCAACGAUUCAUAGAAACGUUGCAAUUGCCGACCGUCUGGGCAACCUGC
This 154-nucleotide non-coding RNA is filed under the name Roseburia sp. CAG:197. Its description in RNAcentral is "ZMP/ZTP riboswitch aptamer (pfl RNA motif)". It matches the Rfam family "ZMP/ZTP riboswitch aptamer (pfl RNA motif)". Rfam says of the family: Previously known as pfl RNA. ZMP is also known as AICAR. Lineage: Bacteria; Bacillati; Bacillota; Clostridia; Lachnospirales; Lachnospiraceae. RNAcentral also lists the same sequence under 1 other name. The record is from Rfam by way of RNAcentral.